Molecule: ribosomal RNA, 327 nt
Filed under: uncultured Pseudomonadota bacterium
Lineage: Bacteria; Pseudomonadati; Pseudomonadota
Description: bacterial SSU rRNA
Rfam family: Bacterial small subunit ribosomal RNA
Source: RNAcentral
AGUGAACGCUGGCGGCAGGCCUAACACAUGCAAGUCGAACGGCAGCACAGGAGAGCUUGCUCUCUGGGUGGCGAGUGGCGGACGGGUGAGGAAUACGUCGGAAUCUGCCUAUUUGUGGGGGAUAACGUAGGGAAACUUACGCUAAUACCGCAUACGACCUACGGGUGAAAGCGGAGGACCUUCGGGCUUCGCGCAGAUAGAUGAGCCGACGUCGGAUUAGCUAGUUGGCGGGGUAAAGGCCCACCAAGGCGACGAUCCGUAGCUGGUCUGAGAGGAUGAUCAGCCACACUGGAACUGAGACACGGUCCAGACUCCUACGGGAGGCAG